UACGAAGGGGGCUAGCGUUGCUCGGAAUCACUGGGCGUAAAGCGCACGUAGGCGGCUUUUUAAGUCAGGGGUGAAAUCCUGGAGCUCAACUCCAGAACUGCCUUUGAUACUGAAGAUCUCGAGUCCGGGAGAGGUGAGUGGAACUGCGAGUGUAGAGGUGAAAUUCGUAGAUAUUCGCAAGAACACCAGUGGCGAAGGCGGCUCACUGGCCCGGUACUGACGCUGAGGCACGAAAGCGUGGGGAGCAAACAGG
This 253-nucleotide ribosomal RNA is filed under the name uncultured bacterium. RNAcentral describes it as "partial 16S ribosomal RNA". It matches the Rfam family "Bacterial small subunit ribosomal RNA", at positions 524 to 776 of the family's 1533-position model. The record is from RNAcentral.